This 254-nucleotide ribosomal RNA is filed under the name uncultured bacterium. Its description in RNAcentral is "partial 16S ribosomal RNA". It matches the Rfam family "Bacterial small subunit ribosomal RNA", at positions 524 to 776 of the family's 1533-position model. The record is from RNAcentral.
UACGGAGGGGGCAAGCGUUGUUCGGAAUUACUGGGCGUAAAGGGCGCGCAGGCGGCUGCUCAAGUCAGGCGUGAAAGGCCUGGGCUCAACCCGGGAAUUGCGCUUGAGACUGGGCUGGCUUGAGUGCGGGAGAGGAUGGUGGAAUUCCCAGUGUAGAGGUGAAAUUCGUAGAUAUUGGGAAGAACACCGGUGGCGAAGGCGGCAUCCUGGACCGACACUGACGCUGAGGAGCGAAAGCCAGGGGAGCAAACGGG